UACGUAGGGUGCAAGCGUUAAUCGGAAUUACUGGGCGUAAAGCGUGCGCAGGCGGUUAUGUAAGACAGGUGUGAAAUCCCCGGGCUUAACCCUGGGAACUGCAUUUGUGACUGCAUAGCUAGAGUACGGUAGAGGGGGGAUGGAAUUCCGCGUGUAGCAGUGAAAUGCGUAGAUAUGCGGAGGAACACCGAUGGCGAAGGCAAUCCCCUGGACCUGUACUGACGCUCAUGCAC
This 233-nucleotide ribosomal RNA is filed under the name uncultured bacterium. Its description in RNAcentral is "partial 16S ribosomal RNA". It matches the Rfam family "Bacterial small subunit ribosomal RNA", at positions 524 to 754 of the family's 1533-position model. The record is from RNAcentral.